UACGGAGGGGGCUAGCGUUGUUCGGAAUUACUGGGCGUAAAGCGUACGUAGGCGGCUUUGUAAGUUAGAGGUGAAAGCCCGGGGCUCAACCCCGGAAUUGCCUUUAAGACUGCAUCGCUUGAACGUCGGAGAGGUGAGUGGAAUUCCGAGUGUAGAGGUGAAAUUCGUAGAUAUUCGGAAGAACACCAGUGGCGAAGGCGGCUCACUGGACCGCAUCUGACGCUGAGGCGCGAAAGCUAGGGGAGCAAACGGG
Molecule: ribosomal RNA, 253 nt
Filed under: uncultured bacterium
Lineage: Bacteria
Description: partial 16S ribosomal RNA
Rfam family: Bacterial small subunit ribosomal RNA
Source: RNAcentral